This 1433-nucleotide long non-coding RNA is filed under the name Heterocephalus glaber (naked mole-rat). Its description in RNAcentral is "lncRNA (ENSHGLG00000036765.1)". Lineage: Eukaryota; Metazoa; Chordata; Mammalia; Rodentia; Bathyergidae. The record is from RNAcentral.
CUCAGGACACUUCCUGUUUUUGGAGGCCCUGCUAGCUAAGAAUGUGAAGGAUUAAUAAAAAGAAGAGUAAGCAACAGAGGUGUAUGUGACUUGUAAGCCUAAAAUAUUUACUAACUGGACCAUCAGAGCAAAGAUUUGCCGACCUUUGGCACAAGGAUUAUAAUGCAAGGUCUUUAUCAGGAAGAAGGUGAAAGGGCUCUGGAGUACAGAGCAGGAAAUACCACUCUUGAUGCAUGGAAUCCAAGAAAGUGUAUGGAUAGAGGAAGUGAACUAUGAAGAAAAGAUGGGAUUUCAACACAAGGAAAUGGAACAGAAGGAAAGAGGAGGAGAGCAAGAAUCAACCUAUUAUCUCUCACUCUGAACUGCAAUGCAUAGUGGGGAGCUUUGAAAAUAUGUUUGUUCCAAAUCCUAAAGUUGAAAAUAAAUGGAAACUAAAAUAAACUUACCUAUAUUCUAAGUUGAAAAUUCCCCACAGAGAGCAAGAAUUAUUUCAAAUGACUUUUGACCUCAGUACGCCAACUGGAAUUCUCUCACGGGAAGUAGGCCCAAGUGCCGUCGGGGCUGCGCAGCCGCAGUGAAUGGGGUGACCUGAGAGGAAGAAGAACACGUCUAAGUGGCAGACAGUCCCGGGCCCGCUCCUCACCGCAGUCUUCAUUUUCCCUUCACUCAUUCAGCAAAGAAUUACUAAGCGCCUACUGCGCAGGAAGCACUGGAAGCGUCGUGGCAGAAGCUUCUUCCUGGAAGAAAAAGUAAACUUCUUGAGGCUUCUUCUCGAGUUGUAGGUCUUAAUCUCAUUUCAGGAUUUGGUUAUCCAGAGGCCCAGCACUACCUUCAGAUCGGAGCUGAGAUGCACAGGCCCUGGUGGGAGAGCGUGACGUGCAGUGCUUUCUCGUGGAACCGGGCCCUGGCGGACCAGGCUGCAAACCCGCGUCUGCUGACUCACUCAUUCUCGCCACACACUUCGCGCCAGCCUGGCCCGGGCAAAAACAAACAGCGCAGGCUCUGCACUUCUCUGGAGCAGGCUCCCGGGGACCCUGGCACCGGGAUCCCCGCACGUACCAAGGAUGGAACUCAUGGCAUCACACAUCUAGGCAAGAGCUCACUGCUGAGCUACACUUCUAGUCCUGAUCUUUUUCAUACAAAUGAACUGGAUUUUAGACAACUUGGUCUCAGAGAAGAUCCUGUUUCAUUCUUGGGAAAUCUGCAGUUUUUUGCAUUCAUCAGGUGACUUUGAAAUUUGCCAAAUCUGAGACAUAGCUGAGAGGGAGUAAGCGCUGUUUCCUGAAGGAGGAAUAAUUCUUAAGAAGAAAGAAUUCCACAGCUGUUGGGAACCUUGCUGAUUUUUGUAAUUUAUUUCCUUUUUCAUAGUUUCAAAAAGUCUCCCACGAGACAAAGAAGUGCAAGCACUUUCUAAUACUAUAAUUUGCUUUCCA